This 240-nucleotide ribosomal RNA is filed under the name uncultured bacterium. Its description in RNAcentral is "partial 16S ribosomal RNA". It matches the Rfam family "Bacterial small subunit ribosomal RNA", at positions 95 to 334 of the family's 1533-position model. The record is from RNAcentral.
CCGGCGCACGGGUGAGUAACGCGUAUGCAACUUACCUAUCAGGAGGGGAUAACCCGGCGAAAGUCGGACUAAUACCGCAUGAAGCAGGGGUCCCGCAUGGGGAUAUUUGCUAAAGAUUCAUCGCUGAUAGAUAGGCAUGCGUUCCAUUAGGCAGUUGGCGGGGUAACGGCCCACCAAACCGACGAUGGAUAGGGGUUCUGAGAGGAAGGUCCCCCACAUUGGAACUGAGACACGGUCCAA